This 1753-nucleotide ribosomal RNA is filed under the name fermentation metagenome. RNAcentral's name for it is "bacterial LSU rRNA". It matches the Rfam family "Bacterial large subunit ribosomal RNA", at positions 1056 to 2841 of the family's 2925-position model. The record is from RNAcentral.
CGCUUAAGUGGUAAAGGAGGUAGGAUUACGAAGACAACCAGGAUGUUGGCUUAGAAGCAGCCAUACAUUUAAAGAGUGCGUAAUAGCUCACUGGUCGAGUGAUCCCGCGCCGAAAAUUAGCGGGGCUAAAGCGUACACCGAAGCUGCGGAUAGCAUACUUAGGUAUGCUGUGGUAGAGGAGCAUUCCUUAUGGGUAGAAGGUAAGCUGAAAGGCGAGCUGGACUGUAAGGAAGAGAGAAUGCCGGCAUAAGUAACGAGAGUAGAGUGAGAAACUCUGCCGUCGAAAGUCUAAGGAUUCCUGGGUAAAGGUCAUCUUCCCAGGGUAAGUCGGGACCUAAGCCGAGGCCGCGAGGCGUAGGCGAUGGAUAACCGGUAAAGAUUCCGGUACCACCCGAAGCCGCUAUAAAGGAAGCGGGGACGCAUAAAGAGAUUGUAUGCGGGCUGUUGGUAUAGCCCGUCCAAGCAGUGAACCAUCCUUAAGGGUAAGUACCUUAAGGUAAGGCGAGCUGUAACGGGGAGCAAUAGCGAAGAUACGAUCUAACGUGCCAAGAAAAGCCGCUACAAGGCCAGGGUGCCCGUACCGCAAACCGACACAGGUAGACGAGGAGAGAAUCCAAAGACGGACGGGAGAAAUUCUGUUAAGGAACUCGGCAAAUUAACCCCGUAACUUAGGAAGAAGGGGAGCCACCAAAAGGUGGCCGCAGAGAAAUGGCCCGAGCGACUGUUUACCAAAAACACAGGUCUCUGCCAAGUCGAAAGACGAAGUAUAGGGGCUGACGCCUGCCCGGUGCUGGAAGGUUAAGGGGAGAAGUGAUAAGCUUUGAACCGAAGCCCCAGUAAACGGCGGCCGUAACUAUAACGGUCCUAAGGUAGCGAAAUUCCUUGUCGGGCAAGUUCCGACCCGCACGAAAGGCGUAACGACUUGGGCGCUGUCUUAACAGAAUACCCGGUGAAAUUGUAGUACUCGUGAAGAUGCGAGUUACCUGCGACUGGACGGAAAGACCCCAUGGAGCUUUACUGUAGCUUGGCACUGGAUUUUGAUGCAGUUUGUACAGGAUAGGUGGGAGGCUAAGAAAUAAGGGCGCCAGUCCUUAUGGAGCCGCCGGUGGGAUACCACCCUAACUGCACCCAAAUUCUAACCCCGAAGUAGUUAACCUACCGGGGGACACUGUCAGGCAGGCAGUUUGACUGGGGCGGUCGCCUCCUAAAGAGUAACGGAGGCGUCCAAAGGUUGCCUCAAAGCGGAUGGAAAUCGCUUGAAAGAGUAUAAAAGCAGAAGGCAGCCUGACUGCGAGACAGACAAGUCGAGCAGGGACGAAAGUCGGGUUUAGUGAUCCGGUGGCACUGAGUGGAAGGGCCAUCGCUCAACGGAUAAAAGCUACCUCGGGGAUAACAGGCUUAUCUCCCCCAAGAGUUCACAUCGACGGGGAGGUUUGGCACCUCGAUGUCGGCUCGUCGCAUCCUGGGGCUGAAGUAGGUCCCAAGGGUUGGGCUGUUCGCCCAUUAAAGCGGUACGCGAGCUGGGUUCAGAACGUCGUGAGACAGUUCGGUCCCUAUCCAUCGCAGGCGUAGGAAAUUUGAGAGGAGCUGUCCUUAGUACGAGAGGACCGGGACAGACCGACCGAUGGUGUACCAGUUGUCCUGCCAAGGGCAUAGCUGGGUAGCCAAGUCGGGAAGGAUAAACGCUGAAAGCAUCUAAGCGUGAAGCCCACCUCAAGAUAAGAUUUCCCACCGUAAGGAUAAGACACCUUGG